This 430-nucleotide ribosomal RNA is filed under the name uncultured bacterium. Its description in RNAcentral is "bacterial SSU rRNA". It matches the Rfam family "Bacterial small subunit ribosomal RNA", at positions 8 to 495 of the family's 1533-position model. The record is from RNAcentral.
AGAGUUUGAUCAUGGCUCAGGAUGAACGCUGGCGGCGUGCCUUAGGCAUGCAAGUCGAACGGCGUAGCAAUACGCAGCGGCGGAAGGGUGAGUAACGCGUGGGAACGUACCUAUUGGUGGAGCAUAGCUCGCCGAAAGGCGGGGUAAUUCUCCAUAUACCGUAAGGUGAAAGAUUUAUCGCCAGUAGAGCGGCCCGCGUCCUAUCAGCUUGUUGGUGGGGUAAUGGCCUACCAAGGCAAUGACGGGUAGCUGGGCUGAGAGGUCGGCCAGCCACAAUGGAACUGAGACACGGUCCAUACAUCUACGGAUGGCAGCAACCGGGAAUCUUGGACAAUGGGGGAAACCCUGAUCCAGCGACGCCGCGUGGGGGAAGAAGGCCUUCGGGUUGUAAACUCCUUUUGUAGUUCAUAAGAACUAAGAAUAAGCACCU